Molecule: non-coding RNA, 366 nt
Organism: Danio rerio (zebrafish)
Lineage: Eukaryota; Metazoa; Chordata; Actinopteri; Cypriniformes; Danionidae
Source: RefSeq, a predicted model, not a curated record
UGCGAUCCCAAGGUUCACUGCGGUUUUCCACAAGAUGCAGAAACAUUUGACAUAUGAAUUCAUCUUGACUAAGGCACUUCAUCUGAACAGUCACAACCUCACAGAGCUGCACAACUGCCCCACUCAAGAUCAGUGUUGAAGCUGGAACCUCAUCUUGUGUACAGCAAAGGCAGAGCUGAAAAUUCACUGUCUGUCUUGUAUUGUGUGUGGCAAAACCUGGAAUAACACAUGGGAGCCCUCCAGGAAUUCCUGACACUUUACGCCUAAGUCUCCUCAUGCUAACCGGAUUGCAAUAUGACAGUCUAGUCAGCAUAAACACCUGGACUCACCAAGCACACUUUGGUUCUCAGUGUUUUGUACAAAUUG